RNAcentral lists this ribosomal RNA (468 nucleotides) under uncultured bacterium. RNAcentral's name for it is "partial 16S ribosomal RNA". It matches the Rfam family "Bacterial small subunit ribosomal RNA", at positions 28 to 507 of the family's 1533-position model. The record is from RNAcentral.
GACGAACGCUGGCGGCGUGCUUAACACAUGCAAGUCGAACGGAAAGGCCCUGCUUUUGUGGGGUGCUCGAGUGGCGAACGGGUGAGUAACACGUGAGUAACCUGCCCUUGACUUUGGGAUAACUUCAGGAAACUGGGGCUAAUACCGGAUAGGAGCUCCUGCUGCAUGGUGGGGGUUGGAAAGUUUCGGCGGUUGGGGAUGGACUCGCGGCUUAUCAGCUUGUUGGUGGGGUAGUGGCUUACCAAGGCUUUGACGGGUAGCCGGCCUGAGAGGGUGACCGGCCACAUUGGGACUGAGAUACGGCACAUAGUCCUACGGGAGGCAGCAGUGGGGAAUAUUGCACAAUGGGCGGAAGCCUGAUGCAGCAACGCCGCGUGCGGGAUGACGGCCUUCGGGUUGUAAUCCGCUUUCGCCUGUGACGAAGCGUGAGUGACGGUAAUGGGCAAAGAAGCACCGGCUAACUACGUG